CACGCCGCGUGAGUGACGAAGGCCUUCGGGUUGUAAAACUCUGUCUUCUGUGACGAACAAGCCUGUGAGUGGAAAGCUCAGGCCCUGACGGUAACAGAGAAGGAAGCCACAGCUAACUACGUGCCAGCAGCCGCGGUAAUACGUAGGCGGCAAGCGUUGUCCGGAAUCACUGGGCGUAAAGCGCGCGCAGGCGGCGAUUUACGUCUGGGGUGAAAGCCCGGAGCUCAACUCCGGGACUGCCUUGGAUACGGGAUCGCUUGAGGAUUGGAGAGGCAAGGGGAAUUCCAUGUGUAGCGGUGAAAUGCGUAGAGAUGUGGAGGAACACCUGUGGCGAAGGCGCCUUGCUGGCCAAUUUCUGACGCUGAGGCGCGAAAGCGGGGGGAGCAAACAGGAUUAGAUACCCUGGUAGUCCACGCCGUAAACGAUGAGUGCUAGGUGUUGGGGGGUACCACCCUCAGUGCCGAAGCUAACGCAUUAAGCACUCCGCCCGGGGAGUACGGUCGCAAGACUGAAACUCA
Molecule: ribosomal RNA, 518 nt
Filed under: uncultured Bacilli bacterium
Lineage: Bacteria; Bacillati; Bacillota; Bacilli
Description: bacterial SSU rRNA
Rfam family: Bacterial small subunit ribosomal RNA
Source: RNAcentral